RNAcentral lists this ribosomal RNA (495 nucleotides) under uncultured bacterium. RNAcentral describes it as "partial 16S ribosomal RNA". It matches the Rfam family "Bacterial small subunit ribosomal RNA", at positions 28 to 507 of the family's 1533-position model. The record is from RNAcentral.
GACGAACGCUGGCGGCGUGCCUAAUACAUGCAAGUAGAACGCUGAAGGAGGAGCUUGCUCUUCUGGAUGAGUUGCGAACGGGUGAGUAACGCGUAGGUAACCUGCCUGGUAGCGGGGGAUAACUAUUGGAAACGAUAGCUAAUACCGCAUAACAGUAGAUGUUGCAUGACAUUUACUUAAAAGGUGCAAUUGCAUCACUACCAGAUGGACCUGCGUUGUAUUAGGUAGUUGGUGGGGUAACGGCUCACCAAGGCGACGACAGAGAGCCGACCUGAGAGGGUGAACGGCGCCACUGGGACUGAGACGCGGCACAGACUCCUACGGGAGGCAGAGGUAGGGACGGUUCGGAAAUGGACGGAAGUCUGAACGAGGAACGCCAGGUGAGUGAAGCAGGGCUUCGGAUCGGAAAACUGCGUUGUAAGAGAAGAACGAGUGUGCUAGUGAAAAAUUGACAUUGUGACGGUACCUUACCAGAAAGCGACGGCUAACUACGUG